ACGGGAGGCAGCAGUGAGGAAUAUUGGUCAAUGGGCGAGAGCUUGAACCAGCCAAGUCGCGUGCGGGAUGAAGGCCCUACGGGUCGUAAACCGCUUUUAUACGGGAAUAAAGUGCGCCUCGUGAGGCGUUUUGCAGGUACCGUAGGAAUAAGGAUCGGCUAACUCCGUGCCAGCAGCCGCGGUAAUACGGAGGAUCCGAGCGUUAUCCGGAUUUAUUGGGUUUAAAGGGUGCGCAGGCGGCCCUGUAAGUCAGCGGUUAAAUCGUGGAGCUCAACUCCAUUCCGCCGUUGAUACUGCAGGGCUUGAUUGCGGUCGAGGUUGGCGGAAUUCGCCGUGUAGCGGUGAAAUGCAUAGAUAUGGCGAAGAACUCCGAUUGCGUAGGCAGCUGACCAGGCCGUAAAUGACGCUCAUGCACGAAAGUGCGGGGAUCGAACAGGAUUAGAUACCCUGGUA
RNAcentral lists this ribosomal RNA (453 nucleotides) under uncultured Petrimonas sp. RNAcentral's name for it is "partial 16S ribosomal RNA". It matches the Rfam family "Bacterial small subunit ribosomal RNA", at positions 341 to 792 of the family's 1533-position model. The record is from RNAcentral. Lineage: Bacteria; Pseudomonadati; Bacteroidota; Bacteroidia; Bacteroidales; Dysgonomonadaceae.